AAACGGGCCAAUCCAGGUUCCCUGAGGGAUCCUCUGAGCUGCACAGAUCCCGUAACCCAGACCAGGAACUGUGCUGGUGCACAGACACACCUGCACACAGAGGUCAAAACAACGUGACACCAGCAGCUGCAGUCAGCUAAAGUUCAUCAACCAAAAUGACCCACACCUGUUUGAGCCCAGUUACUGUGAUUGACAUUGUGUGUGGCCAAUAAAAAAUAAGCAUUCCUCGGGCUUGGACCAGUUAAAUGUCAGGAAGGAGAGAUGAAUGGACUUCACCCGGAUACAAAGCAGAGGUAGCCAUGAUGAAGUUAGAGGCUGUAUUUAGGAAGUGGGGGUCACCUCUCUGGGCAGGUCUCUCAGCCAAUCGGGGAUGUCUGGUAGGGUGACAGGUGCUGCCGUGCUGCUGGUGCCGACGAGCCGGCGCAGAGAGUGAAGA
Molecule: long non-coding RNA, 436 nt
Organism: Oreochromis niloticus (Nile tilapia)
Lineage: Eukaryota; Metazoa; Chordata; Actinopteri; Cichliformes; Cichlidae
Exons: 3
Source: RefSeq, a predicted model, not a curated record